Long non-coding RNA from Sorghum bicolor (sorghum), 723 nucleotides. RefSeq lists it as uncharacterized. The record is from RefSeq and is a predicted model, not a curated record. The transcript is spliced from 2 exons. NCBI's taxonomy places the organism in Eukaryota, Viridiplantae, Streptophyta, Magnoliopsida, Poales, Poaceae.
ACACGAAGGAAGAACUCACCGGCAGCAGGCACCGGAGCUGCGCCGAUUCACUUCACUAGCCGCGCGCCAUGCGCGAGCUUGACUGCCUAGCAGAGCUCGCCGGAGUACUACCCAACAACUCCAGAAUGACAAGGCAGCAAUCGAGAGGAGUAAAUGGGUUUGCCGCUAGCGUCACCGGUGGCCGGGGCCCCGGGGGUGUAGGAAGCAGAGCAGGCGAUCGGGUCAAGGAGGAGAAACGGCGGUGGCCGCAGGCAGCAACCCGCCUGUUCUUUGUUUAAUGGCGUGGCACAGGCGUGGAUGGUGAUGGAUUGGAUCAGGGGCGAUUUGGUGAAGAAGCUGCGGGGGGUCAGAGUCAGAGAUUGGUGGUAGGAGGAGGUCAAACAUGGCGGGACGGUGAGCACGCGGGUGGGGUCCGUUUGAUUUUGGAGACGAAGACGACGACGGGGUGUCUGUUGGCUGGCUGGAGGGGUUAGGUGUCGUUGGCGCCAUUUUGACGGCUGACCUGUGGGCCCGAUCCUUGCAGGGCCACCGGCAACCCAUAUUUGAACUUGACUUGGUCUGUUUGUGAAUUGUGAGGACGUACAUGGACAGUCAUUCAAUUCAAGGUAAGGGGGCGGAACAGCGAGCUGGUGUGGACUGGGGCCUUGUUUUUAGAUCCGUAAUGUUUUUGGAUUUUUGAUACUAUAGCACUUUUAUUUGUAUUUGACAAAUAUUAUUCAAUCA